Molecule: ribosomal RNA, 492 nt
Filed under: Clostridioides difficile
Lineage: Bacteria; Bacillati; Bacillota; Clostridia; Peptostreptococcales; Peptostreptococcaceae
Description: bacterial SSU rRNA
Rfam family: Bacterial small subunit ribosomal RNA
Source: RNAcentral
GGUGCAUGGUUGUCGUCAGCUCGUGUCGUGAGAUGUUGGGUUAAGUCCCGCAACGAGCGCAACCCUUGUCUUUAGUUGCCAUCAUUAAGUUGGGCACUCUAGAGAGACUGCCAGGGAUAACCUGGAGGAAGGUGGGGAUGACGUCAAAUCAUCAUGCCCCUUAUGCUUAGGGCUACACACGUGCUACAAUGGGUAGUACAGAGGGUUGCCAAGCCGUAAGGUGGAGCUAAUCCCUUAAAGCUACUCUCAGUUCGGAUUGUAGGCUGAAACUCGCCUACAUGAAGCUGGAGUUACUAGUAAUCGCAGAUCAGAAUGCUGCGGUGAAUGCGUUCCCGGGUCUUGUACACACCGCCCGUCACACCACGGGAGUUGGAGACGCCCGAAGCCGAUUAUCUAACCUUUUGGAAGAAGUCGUCGAAGGUGGAAUCAAUAACUGGGGUGAAGUCGUAACAAGGUAGCCGUAUCGGAAGGUGCGGCUGGAUCACCUCCUUU